UUAAGCGACUAAGCGUACACGGUGGAUGCCCUGGCAGUCAGAGGCGAUGAAGGGCGUGCUAAUCUGCGAUAAGCGCCGGUAAGGUGAUAUGAACCGUUAUAACCGGCGAUACCCGAAUGGGGAAACCCAGUGUGAUUCGUCACACUAUCAUUAACUGAAUCCAUAGGUUAAUGAGGCGAACCGGGGGAACUGAAACAUCUAAGUACCCCGAGGAAAAGAAAUCAACCGAGAUUCCCCCAGUAGCGGCGAGCGAACGGGGAGGAGCCCAGAGCCUGAAUCAGCAUGUGUGUUAGUGGAAGCGUCUGGAAAGGCGCGCGAUACAGGGUGACAGCCCCGUACACAAAAGCGCAUGUGCUGUGAGCUCGAUGAGUAGGGCGGGACACGUGGUAUCCUGUCUGAAUAUGGGGGGACCAUCCUCCAAGGCUAAAUACUCCUGACUGACCGAUAGUGAACCAGUACCGUGAGGGAAAGGCGAAAAGAACCCCGGCGAGGGGAGUGAAAAAGAACCUGAAACCGUGUACGUACAAGCAGUGGGAGCCCCACCACCAAAGCAUUCUCUGGUGUUGAAGGCCCUGCAAAGCAGCAUCGCGGUGGCGGAGCGUCGUUUGCGACGCCCAACACACAAAACAAGCGGUGAGUGCUUUGGGGUGGGGUGACUGCGUACCUUUUGUAUAAUGGGUCAGCGACUUAUAUUCUGUAGCAAGGUUAACCGAAUAGGGGAGCCGGAGGGAAACCGAGUCUUAAUUGGGCGUUAAGUUGCAGGGUAUAGACCCGAAACCCGGUGAUCUAGCCAUGGGCAGGUUGAAGGUUGGGUAACACUAACUGGAGGACCGAACCGACUAAUGUUGAAAAAUUAGCGGAUGACCUGUGGCUGGGGGUGAAAGGCCAAUCAAACCGGGAGAUAGCUGGUUCUCCCCGAAAGCUAUUUAGGUAGCGCCUCGUGAAUUCAUCUCCGGGGGUAGAGCACUGUUUCGGCUAGGGGGCCAUCCCGGCUUACCAACCCGAUGCAAACUGCGAAUACCGGAGAAUGUUAUCACGGGAGACACACGGCGGGUGCUAACGUCCGUCGUGAAGAGGGAAACAACCCAGACCGCCAGCUAAGGUCCCAAAGUCAUGGUUAAGUGGGAAACGAUGUGGGAAGGCCCAGACAGCCAGGAUGUUGGCUUAGAAGCAGCCAUCAUUUAAAGAAAGCGUAAUAGCUCACUGGUCGAGUCGGCCUGCGCGGAAGAUGUAACGGGGCUAAACCAUGCACCGAAGCUGCGGCAGCGAACGUAUCACUUAAAGCGAUUCAGCGGGUUACGAUUGACGGAGCGAAGCGACGUCAAAGCGUAUACAAAGUCGAGUCGGUUUAAGGAUACGUUCGUUGGGUAGGGGAGCGUUCUGUAAGCCUGCGAAGGUGGCCUGUGAGGGUUGCUGGAGGUAUCAGAAGUGCGAAUGCUGACAUAAGUAACGAUAAAGCGGGUGAAAAGCCCGCUCGCCGGAAGACCAAGGGUUCCUGUCCAACGUUAAUCGGGGCAGGGUGAGUCGACCCCUAAGGCGAGGCCGAAAGGCGUAGUCGAUGGGAAACGGGUUAAUAUUCCCGUACUUGGUGUUACUGCGAAGGGGGGACGGAGAAGGCUAUGUUGGCCGGGCGACGGUUGUCCCGGUUUAAGCGUGUAGGUGUGUGUUCCAGGUAAAUCCGGUUCACUUUAACACUGAGGCGUGACGACGAGGCACUACGGUGCUGAAGCAACAAAUGCCCUGCUUCCAGGAAAAGCCUCUAAGCAUCAGGUAACAUCAAAUCGUACCCCAAACCGACACAGGUGGUCAGGUAGAGAAUACCAAGGCGCUUGAGAGAACUCGGGUGAAGGAACUAGGCAAAAUGGUGCCGUAACUUCGGGAGAAGGCACGCUGACAUGUAGGUGAAGUGAUUUACUCAUGGAGCUGAAGUCAGUCGAAGAUACCAGCUGGCUGCAACUGUUUAUUAAAAACACAGCACUGUGCAAACACGAAAGUGGACGUAUACGGUGUGACGCCUGCCCGGUGCCGGAAGGUUAAUUGAUGGGGUCAGCGCAAGCGAAGCUCCUGAUCGAAGCCCCGGUAAACGGCGGCCGUAACUAUAACGGUCCUAAGGUAGCGAAAUUCCUUGUCGGGUAAGUUCCGACCUGCACGAAUGGCGUAAUGAUGGCCAGGCUGUCUCCACCCGAGACUCAGUGAAAUUGAACUCGCUGUGAAGAUGCAGUGUACCCGCGGCAAGACGGAAAGACCCCGUGAACCUUUACUAUAGCUUGACACUGAACAUUGAGCCUUGAUGUGUAGGAUAGGUGGGAGGCUUUGAAGUGUGGACGCCAGUCUGCAUGGAGCCGACCUUGAAAUACCACCCUUUAAUGUUUGAUGUUCUAACGUGGACCCGUAAUCCGGGUUGCGGACAGUGUCUGGUGGGUAGUUUGACUGGGGCGGUCUCCUCCUAAAGAGUAACGGAGGAGCACGAAGGUUGGCUAAUCCUGGUCGGACAUCAGGAGGUUAGUGCAAUGGCAUAAGCCAGCUUGACUGCGAGCGUGACGGCGCGAGCAGGUGCGAAAGCAGGUCAUAGUGAUCCGGUGGUUCUGAAUGGAAGGGCCAUCGCUCAACGGAUAAAAGGUACUCCGGGGAUAACAGGCUGAUACCGCCCAAGAGUUCAUAUCGACGGCGGUGUUUGGCACCUCGAUGUCGGCUCAUCACAUCCUGGGGCUGAAGUAGGUCCCAAGGGUAUGGCUGUUCGCCAUUUAAAGUGGUACGCGAGCUGGGUUUAGAACGUCGUGAGACAGUUCGGUCCCUAUCUGCCGUGGGCGCUGGAGAACUGAGGGGGGCUGCUCCUAGUACGAGAGGACCGGAGUGGACGCAUCACUGGUGUUCGGGUUGUCAUGCCAAUGGCACUGCCCGGUAGCUAAAUGCGGAAGAGAUAAGUGCUGAAAGCAUCUAAGCACGAAACUUGCCCCGAGAUGAGUUCUCCCUGAGACUUAGAGUCUCCUGAAGGAACGUUGAAGACGACGACGUUGAUAGGCCGGGUGUGUAAGCGCAGCGAUGCGUUGAGCUAACCGGUACUAAUGAACCGUGAGGCUUAACCUU
This 3087-nucleotide ribosomal RNA is filed under the name Salmonella enterica subsp. enterica serovar Infantis. Its description in RNAcentral is "bacterial LSU rRNA". It matches the Rfam family "Bacterial large subunit ribosomal RNA". The record is from RNAcentral. Lineage: Bacteria; Pseudomonadati; Pseudomonadota; Gammaproteobacteria; Enterobacterales; Enterobacteriaceae.